UACAGAGGGUGCGAGCGUUAAUCGGAAUUACUGGGCGUAAAGCGUGCGUAGACGGUAAUGUAAGUCAGAUGUGAAAGCCCCGGGCUCAACCUGGGAAUUGCAUUUGAGACUGCAUUGCUUGGGUGCGGAAGAGGGAAGCGGAAUUUCCGGUGUAGCGGUGAAAUGCGUAGAUAUCGGGAAGAACACCCGUGGCGAAGGCGGCUCUCUGGGACGGUACUGACGCUGAGACGCGAAAGCGUGGGGAGCGAACAGG
Molecule: ribosomal RNA, 253 nt
Filed under: uncultured bacterium
Lineage: Bacteria
Description: partial 16S ribosomal RNA
Rfam family: Bacterial small subunit ribosomal RNA
Source: RNAcentral